Molecule: long non-coding RNA, 1987 nt
Organism: Cydia fagiglandana
Lineage: Eukaryota; Metazoa; Arthropoda; Insecta; Lepidoptera; Tortricidae
Exons: 2
Source: RefSeq, a predicted model, not a curated record
CCCCAAAUGUAACAUAGAGCCCUGUAAUAUCGGGACAGCGAAACGGUACCUAUCAUAUAGGCUGUUGGCUACAGUCGAGCUCACAAACAUCUUUUCAAGCCAACGUUCCAAAAAUAUAUGUACACGCCUCUAGCAAUAACGGUAUGUACAAAUAUUUUUGGAACUUCGGCUUGUAAAGAUGUCUGUCUCGACCGUAGACGUCAAGAGUCAACACGUGACGUUCCACGGCAAAAGGUACCUUAUGGCGGCUGGCGCUUACGCCGCAUAGCGCCGCAAUAUUGGAGCGGCGUUAAUAAUAGCGUAAGCGCUAACCGCCAUAAGGUAACGUGGGACGUCACAUAUAUUGAAUACAUUUCUAACACUACUAGGUACUUCAAACUCAGUCCUAAGGCUAACUUCUUUAAUAUUGAAUGUAUCUGUGCGACUCGGAGAAGGUAACUUUAGAGACACGACUGCAGUGUUACCGACGCGUGGAAAUAUUAAAUUGGUUUCUAUAAUACAGCCAUACCCUAAGUGUGUUCCGCGGAACCCUAGGGUUCCGCAAGAAUUUAGAACACUAUGAUUUAGUCGCCUCGAAAAUUUUUACUAUACCGCCACCGCCGAUACCAACUUGUGAGCGAUAAAAAACACACUUCUAAAAACUACUGUUUUAUUGUAGGGUUCCAUCAAGUAUUUCGCUUUCCAAAAGGGUUCCGUCAAAAAAGAUUGCGAACCGCUGCUAUAAUAGAUUCAUAUCAACAACUCUUGCAUAGACUUAUAUAAACCGGGAUAUGAACCGUGAUUAACUUUUUUAUCGUUCGUAUAUCCCGGUCGAUACGUGGGCCACACUGAAAGUUUCUGGAUUCUGAAAUAUGGGUCGACUUAUUUUCAAAGUGGCCAGUCCAGGAAUUUUCAGUACGCCCUAAAUAUAAGUCUAGUGAAACCAUUAAGUCAUAUAAUUAUUUUGGCAUAUAAAGCCCAAUGGGCAUUAUAAUUUAUACUCGGAUUUAAUGUUUAUUUAAGCCUAUUAUUAAAAAAGUAGGAUUUAAAAAAAUUAAAAUGCAAUAUUUUUAAAACGGACCCACAAGAUGGACGGACGACCUUUUUAAGGCCGCCGGAAGACGCUGGAUGCGGGUCGCUUCCAACCGGUACGAGUGGAGGUCCAAGGGGGAGGGCUAUGUUCAGCAGUGGACGUCUUAUGGCUGAGAUGAUGAUUCUUAAAACAGAUGUAGCGGCACACAGCUUUGCCAAAUAGCACAAUAGUUUUUUUUAUUAAAUGUGCAACUUAUUUUAUUCAACAAUCAUUUAAAAUACGUACUUUAUCCUCCCGAGACCCAGAAGCAAUUAUUUUGUUUUUCUAAUUGGAACCCUUGGUUACACAAUAAAAGUUCAAAAUGGAUUUUGGAGUAUGUACAAAAAUUGUACGAAGGGACUUAGGAGGUUAUAGAUACAAGGACUUAUGUAUUGGUAAUGCAGUUUUUAUUUAAGUAUUUAAUAGUGAAAGUAAUUUGAAAUGUUAAAUAUAAUCAAUGCUAUUUAGUAUUUUUAGUGUUAUACAAAUAUACCGGCUUCAUAAAAAACAAUUUGAUAUUGUCCACACGUGAUCGGUAUCGCACAACGAUCGACCCAAGAACUAUUCCACCAUAUUGUACAAUGUACAUUAACAAUAAUCCUAGCUUGUAACUUAUUGCCAGCUACAUAUCGAAAACAACGCUAAAUCUUGUUCAAACUGAAAUGUCAAACCAAUGUGUCCGUGCUAGCUUAGAUUCAAGAUCCAAUAGUGAUCCAAAAGACUUGAGCCUUUUAGCUCUUUUUUUAGGGCUCGCCUCAUCUCUUUUCUAUUUCAUUAGUAAAAUAGGCCUUUAGCCUUUUAGGCGUCAAGAGAUGAGGCGAGCCCUCUUAUAUAGUUUGUUUUUUUAGCAUUAGAAAUAAGGUAAACAAUCUUGACGUGUCUUUUUAUUGAAAAACACGUUUUUAAAAUAAGUCACGGCAAAUAUGUAACAAUUAU